AACCUUUAGCCAAACAAGCAUUAAAGGCAACACCUGCCCAGUGAACAAUUAAACGGCCGCGGUACCCUAACCGUGCAAAGGUAGCAUAAUCAUUUGUCUAUUAAUUGUAGACCUGUAUGAAAGGUAGAAUGAGGGCCCAACUGUCUCUUAUAAUAAAUCAAUUAAACUGAUCUCCCAGUACAAAAGCUGGGAUACAAACAUAAGACCAGAAGACCCUGUGAAGCUUAAACUAACAUAUUAAAUCAUAUAAUAUCUACUUUCGGUUGGGGCGACCUUGGAAAAAAAAAGAACUUCCAACAAAUGGUUUUACACCAUAUUUAGGCCGACAGGCCUCAUAGACCCAGUAUUACUGAUAAUUGAACCAAGUUACUCCAGGGAUAACAGCGCCAUCUUCUUCAAGAGCCCAUAUCAAAAAGAAGGUUUACGACCUCGAUGUUGGAUCAGGACAUCCUAAUGGUGCAGCAGCUAUUAAGGGUUCGUUUGUUCA
RNAcentral lists this ribosomal RNA (487 nucleotides) under Prosymna bivittata. RNAcentral describes it as "partial large subunit ribosomal RNA". It matches the Rfam family "Bacterial large subunit ribosomal RNA", at positions 1816 to 2583 of the family's 2925-position model. Lineage: Eukaryota; Metazoa; Chordata; Lepidosauria; Squamata; Prosymnidae. The record is from RNAcentral.